UCUCACCAGCCCUUAAAUAAUGUAUAUUUAAGAAAAAAAAAAAAAAAAAACUCUCAUCGUUUUUUCACUGACCCGGUGAGGCGGCGGGGGGGUGGGGGCGAGCCCCGAGGGGUUCUCGCUUCUGGCGCGCCAAGCGUCUGUCCCGCGCAUGCGGGCGGGCACGACCCGCUCGGGGACAGUGCCAGGUGGGGAGUUUGACUGGGGCGGUACACCUGUCAAAAGGUAACGCAGGUGUCCUAAGGCGAGCUCAGGGAGGACAGAAACCUCCCGUGGAGCAGAAUGCAAAAGCUCACUUGAUCUUGAUUUUCAGUACGAAUACAGACCGUGAAAGCGGGGCCUCACGAUCCUUCUAAAAAGAGCUG
RNAcentral lists this non-coding RNA (362 nucleotides) under Mus musculus (house mouse). RNAcentral's name for it is "Eukaryotic large subunit ribosomal RNA". It matches the Rfam family "Eukaryotic large subunit ribosomal RNA", at positions 2474 to 2789 of the family's 3401-position model. Lineage: Eukaryota; Metazoa; Chordata; Mammalia; Rodentia; Muridae. The record is from Rfam by way of RNAcentral.